UACGAAGGGUGCAAGCGUUGCUCGGAAUUACUGGGCGUAAAGCGUGCGUAGGUGGUUCGUUAAGUCUGAUGUGAAAGCCCUGGGCUCAACCUGGGAAUGGCAUUGGAAACUGGCGACCUAGAGUGCGGUAGAGGGUAGUGGAAUUCCCGGUGUAGCAGUGAAAUGCGUAGAGAUCGGGAGGAACAUCCGUGGCGAAGGCGACUACCUGGACCAGCACUGACACUGAGGCACGAAAGCGUGGGGAGCAAACAGG
RNAcentral lists this ribosomal RNA (253 nucleotides) under uncultured bacterium. Its description in RNAcentral is "partial 16S ribosomal RNA". It matches the Rfam family "Bacterial small subunit ribosomal RNA", at positions 524 to 776 of the family's 1533-position model. The record is from RNAcentral.